RNAcentral lists this ribosomal RNA (369 nucleotides) under uncultured bacterium. RNAcentral describes it as "bacterial SSU rRNA". It matches the Rfam family "Bacterial small subunit ribosomal RNA", at positions 523 to 898 of the family's 1533-position model. The record is from RNAcentral.
AUACGUAGGGGACAAGCGUUGUCCGGAAUCACUGGGCGUAAAGGGCGCGUAGGCGGUUUUAUAAGUCAGAUGUGAAAGGUACCGGCUCAACCGGUGACGUGCAUUUGAAACUGUAAGACUUGAGUACUGGAGAGGCAAGUGGAAUUCCUAGUGUAGCGGUGAAAUGCGUAGAUAUUAGGAGGAACACCGGUGGCGAAGGCGGCUUGCUGGACAGAUACUGACGCUGAGGUGCGAAAGCGUGGGGAGCGAACAGGAUUAGAUACCCUGGUAGUCCACGCCGUAAACGAUGAUGACUAGGUGUUGGGGAAACUCAGUGCCGCAGUUAACACAAUAAGUAUUCCACCUGGGGAGUACGUUCGCAAGAAUGAA